Long non-coding RNA from Phacochoerus africanus (Common warthog), 798 nucleotides. RefSeq lists it as uncharacterized. NCBI's taxonomy places the organism in Eukaryota, Metazoa, Chordata, Mammalia, Artiodactyla, Suidae. The transcript is spliced from 3 exons. The record is from RefSeq and is a predicted model, not a curated record.
UUGAACAUGGUCAACUGUCCUCAAGGAAGACAACAAUGUCCGGGAGACAGAUACAGAUCGUGACGAUGUGGGAUGGUCCAGGCAGAGCUAAAGCCCUGCCAGCUUGGGUUUCAUUUCUUCGGUGGAGCCUCCACGCUUCCUCCCAGGAAAGGAGGAAGGGAAGAGAAGGGGAGAGGUGGCUUCUCUAGGUGAGCGCAUCAGCUGGCUUCAGCCCGCACAGGCAAGAAUUCUCUUCGCAGGAAGCUCCUCUUGCUCCCCUGCCGCCCACCCCCGCCAGCCCGGCAGCCAUAUCAUCACAACUGCUCAGAGGCCACGUCUCUUUGGGCAUUAGGAUCAAAGAACGUGCGGGAGAGAGACAACAUCCAAGACACCAUCAGUAAAGGUACCAUUUUCUGUGAACCUUUUACCAUCCAUCAUUGCAAUGGCCAGUUUGAGGCUUUCACUUGUGACUGCAUAUUCCCGGGGAUCUGAGACUCUGUCACUGCAACAACAACCUGAGGGAUAGUCUCUUUGCAAAGAGGUGGUCAAGAGGGCGAGCUCCCCUGGGUUUCCUGCUGUCUCAGGAAAAGCCGGAGAAACUGGGCACCAAGGUUUUGGCUUCUCAUAAAAUAUUCCUGAAAUGCAUCUCAUAACGUAGUUGGUCAUAAAAGUACAUUACUGUGCUCCGCCCCUCCAAGAGGCUGGACUGGAUGCCAGCCCAACCCUACCCACUCUGAGUCUACGUGAAUCAGUGCUAAAUUAUUCACCAGUCUGACUUUAAAAUUUCUAGAGUUCCAAAACCUCUAAUAAAGUAUUAUG